UCCGGUUUAUCACCGGCAGUCUCCUCAGAGUGCCCAGCUUUACCUGUUAGCAACAGGAGGCAAGGGUUGCGCUCGUUGCGGGACUUAACCCAACAUCUCACGACACGAGCUGACGACAGCCAUGCAGCACCUCUACACGGGUCCCGAAGGAAGACCUCAUCUCUGAGGCUGUCCCGUGCAGUUCAAACCCCGGUAAGGUUCUUCGCGUUGCGUCGAAUUGAACCACAUGCUCCACCGCUUGUGCGGGCCCCCGUCAAUUCCUUUGAGUUUCAGCCUUGCGGCCGUACUCCCCAGGCGGGGCACUUAAUGCGUUAGCGACGGCGCGGGGGGAGUCGACACCCCCCACACCUAGUGCCCAUCGUUUACGGCGUGGACUAC
This 378-nucleotide unclassified non-coding RNA is filed under the name uncultured bacterium. Its description in RNAcentral is "contains 16S-23S intergenic spacer region". The record is from RNAcentral.